GCAAAGUCGCGAAGUCGCAAAGAUUUUGUUUUGCUUAAAAUUAAACUUUGCGACUUAGCGACUUUGC
RNAcentral lists this unclassified non-coding RNA (67 nucleotides) under Flavobacterium anhuiense. RNAcentral describes it as "Flavo-1 RNA". Lineage: Bacteria; Pseudomonadati; Bacteroidota; Flavobacteriia; Flavobacteriales; Flavobacteriaceae. The record is from RNAcentral.